Long non-coding RNA from Anthonomus grandis grandis, 691 nucleotides. RefSeq lists it as uncharacterized. The transcript is spliced from 3 exons. The record is from RefSeq and is a predicted model, not a curated record. NCBI's taxonomy places the organism in Eukaryota, Metazoa, Arthropoda, Insecta, Coleoptera, Curculionidae.
UGUGAAAUUUUAUUGAACAGUAUAUAUUUUUUGAGGGAUAAUAAAUUAAUAUGUGAAGAUUGUGGAAAGUCAUUUUCUUCUACUUCAACAUUGUAUCGGCAUAUGAGGGAUAUACAUAAUAAAAAACAGAGUGAAAAAGAGAGCCAACACAUUAUUUGCCCCCUUUGCCUGGACAAAGAGAAGUUUACAUCCUAUGAUUCUUUAAUAAGACACUUUCAUAGUAUUCAUAAUAUACAUAUUAAAGAAUCUGUUUUAAAUUUUAGGAAUUUGGCAGAGUUUGAAAUUUGGAGGUCUGCAGAAAACAGAGAGGUAGAUUAUGCUGUUCAUCGAAGAAAGAAAUGUGCUAAUGGGGAAGAAUUUAUUUACUAUAAUUGUAAUAGAAGUGAUUCAAAAGGAUAUGUCAGUACAUGUUUGCAACGGAAUUUAAAGUCUAAAGGAAGCAUUCGUAUGCAAGGAAUUUGUCCAUCAAGAAUAAUAGUUAAAAUUCUAGUAGAUGGAGUGAUUAGAGUAAGAUUUUUUGAAACCCACAUAGGACACCCUGACGAAUUAAGAAGCAAAAGGCUAACAAAAUCGGAACAGGAGAUAAUUGUGGAUAAAUUAGCAGCAGGAGUUUCAAACAAGAGAAUUAUUCAGGAGGCCAGAAGCGUAGACGGCAAUAAACUACAAAGGAAAAAUUGUAUAACAAGAGGAG